Molecule: long non-coding RNA, 827 nt
Organism: Brachypodium distachyon (stiff brome)
Lineage: Eukaryota; Viridiplantae; Streptophyta; Magnoliopsida; Poales; Poaceae
Exons: 4
Source: RefSeq, a predicted model, not a curated record
CCCCCGGCGACCGCCUCCACGCGCACCGCCCGCCUGCAGCUCCCGCACCCCACCUCGUCGGCGUCUUCCCGAGCUCCGCCGCCAUCGACCUCAUCGGCGCAGCCUCCCUUUCUCCUCGCUGUCGGUGCGAUUCCUCUGCCCUGCCCCGUCAACCCCCUUGUCGGCCCACCUGAAGCCCAUCUCCAGCCCGCAGGCCGAGCAAGCGCAAGUCCAUCAGCAGCUAAGCCCACAGCCUAUCUUUUUCUAUUUUCUGGAAAUUGUUAAACCUUGACGUGUGGGCCCUGCUUGUCAGUCUGUGCACUGCUAUUUGUUGCUGCAGCCCGCUACUGUGUUGCCGCUGCUCCGUGUCGAGCCGUCUUGCUGCUGCACUUCGUCGACGCCCACGAAAAACCACAUCGCUUUGGAGAUGAAGCCGCGCGACUACAUCGCCUACGUGAACAACUACUUCGUCUACGAGGACUACAUCGUCUACGACGCCUACUUCCUCUACCAUCGACUACGCCAUGGCGCGCCACGAAGUUGGGGCAAUGGGGGUGGUUUGGAGGAGUUCGGAGGUGGUGGUGGUGCUCAUCCGGUGACCGUGAGGCCGCUUAAGGUUGGGGUUCGCACGCUUCAAGGCACAAAAUGGAGAGAGUAUCGUUGCUAUCUCCAGAGAUUGAGAGUAAGCAUCAGGCUGCUCGAUUGGUGGCGCAUCCUGGGAGUGUCGAGCCUCUUGUCACGCGCACUCCUAAGGAAAAUUGGAUGAUACACCCUGCCUGGAUUCAGCGUUUGAAGUGGGCUGGCCUUUUACCUUUCGCACGACUUGUUGAGGCAACUCGUGCGGAAAU